UUAUUAGCCAGAAUUCAACAACCUUUUUCAUAUUAAAUCACCUUGUUGCUUUAGAGCGCCCAUGACAAGGCAAUUGGUUCAGUGCUACCUAAAUUGAAUAAUAUUUUGUAGCUACGACUGGUGAUGCUACAUUUUAGGAUUAAAUGUAACGUAACUUAAUUCAAAUCUAGAUAUUUCACCAUCUAUUCCAUCUGAACCAGAGAAAGUGAGUAAAGACGUUAUAUAUGGGACAGUCAUCGGAAUUCUCGUCCUGCUGUUCUCUUUAUUCAUCAUAUACAUAACAGUAAAGCGCCGGAAAGGUCGAGGAGAUAAUCGGCUAGAAGUAAUUGCUGUGGAAGGAAGGGGACCUCAAAUA
This is a long non-coding RNA of Orbicella faveolata, 355 nucleotides long. NCBI's taxonomy places the organism in Eukaryota, Metazoa, Cnidaria, Anthozoa, Scleractinia, Merulinidae. The record is from RefSeq and is a predicted model, not a curated record.